RNAcentral lists this long non-coding RNA (202 nucleotides) under Nicotiana benthamiana. RNAcentral's name for it is "long non-coding RNA (NBEN_LNC033415)". Lineage: Eukaryota; Viridiplantae; Streptophyta; Magnoliopsida; Solanales; Solanaceae. The record is from RNAcentral.
CUGAAGAUCGCAUUGAACAGCCUAGUGAGCCACUCCCCUCCAGCUUUACCCAUGCACUUCCAGAACUCCACCGGGAUCGCUCGACCCCUACUCAUCCUACGCAAUGCCCCUAAGACGUCCUCCAACCUAAUGCGCCUGCAGUACCCAAGGUCUCUAUGUAGCUCUGAAUGCCCCAACUCUCCUAGCUCUAUGUUACGAUCCC